AUGCAUUCAAGUACGGAGAUGGCGAGGUCCUGGUCGCUCCUUCUGCCGCUUGCUCUAGCAUUGGUUGCUUCGGCUGCCCACGCUGCCAUUGUGGAGCACACCUUCAAUGUCGGGAACCUCUCCAUUAGCCAGCUCUGCCAGCCGGACAGGAUCAUCACGGCGGUGAAUGGCCAGCUACCGGGCCCGACGAUUCGGGCCAGCGAGGGUGACACGGUGGUUGUACACCUCGUCAAUGAAUCGCCAUACGGCAUGACCAUCCACUGGCAUGGCAUAUUCCAGCGUGGCAGUCAGUGGGCAGACGGGCCGGCGAUGGUCACGCAGUGCCCCGUCCAGCCAGGCAGCAACUACACCUACCGCUUCAACGUCACCGGGCAGGAGGGCACGCUCUGGUGGCAUGCCCACUUCUCCUUCCUCCGCGCCACCGUCUAUGGUGCCCUCAUCAUCCUGCCCCGCGGCGGCGCCGAGGCCUACCCCUUCACCAAGCCCGACAAGGAGGAGAUCAUCAUGUUCGGGGAGUGGUGGAACGCCAAUGUAUUCGACUUGCAGCAGAUGGCGCUACUCACCGGAAUUCCUGCCGGGCCAGCCGACGCCUACACCAUCAACGGCAAGCCGGGAGACUUCUACAACUGCUCCGCCCCAAAUCAGACGCACAUGUUCGAGGUGAAGAAGAACGAGACGUACCUGCUCCGGAUCAUCAACGCUGCGCUCAACACGCCUCUGUUCUUCAAGGUGGCGAACCACACCUUCACCGUGGUGGCGGCGGACGCGUGCUACACCACACCGUACAAGACGAACGUGGUGGUGGUUGGGCCCGGGCAGACCGUGGACGCGCUCAUGGUCGCGGACGCCGUGGUCGGGCGAUACUACAUGGCGGCGUCUCCCUAUGAUAGUGGGAUACCGUCGGGGCCGCCGUUCAGCAGGACCAACGCGACGGCGGUGCUAGAGUACGCCGGCGGACCGAACACGACCUCGCCGCCUGCGCUUCCACAGUUGCCGGAGUUCAACGACACGAACACCGCCCACAGGUUCCUCUCCAACCUCACCGCGUUGGUGCUCCCCGGCAAGCCGACCGUGCCGCUCGCGGUGGACACCCGCAUGUUUGUCACCGUCGGGAUGGGCGUCGCCGACUGCCAGCCGGAGCAGACGUUGUGCAACCGGAGCCGCACCAUGUUCGCGUCGAGCAUGAACAACGCGUCCUUCGUGCCGCCGAGGAGCACCUCCAUGCUCGAGGCCCACUACAGCAACUUGACGGCGGGCGUCUACACCCGCGACUUCCCCGACCAGCCGCCGGUCCUCUUCGACUACACCGCCGACGCGAGCAACAACGCCACGAUGCAGUACACAACCAAGUCGACCAAGGUGCGGACGCUCCGGUACAACGAGACGGUGGAGAUGGUGCUCCAGAACACGCGGCUCAUCGCCAAGGAGAGCCACCCCAUGCACCUCCACGGCUUCAACUUCUUCGUCCUAGCACAGGGCUUUGGGAACUACAACCAGACAACCGCGGCGCGGCAAUUCAACCUCGUCAACCCCCAAGAGCGCAACACCGUCCUCGUCCCCACCGGUGGCUGGGCUGUCAUCCGCUUCAUCGCCGACAAUCCAGGGAUGUGGUACAUGCACUGUCACUUCGAGGCUCAUCUUGAUCUCGGGUUGGGAAUGGUGUUUGAGGUUCAGGACGGGCCCACACCGGAUACUUCUCUGCCGCCGCCACCUAAAGACCUGCCGCAAUGUUGA
Molecule: ribosomal RNA, 1734 nt
Filed under: Triticum aestivum (bread wheat)
Lineage: Eukaryota; Viridiplantae; Streptophyta; Magnoliopsida; Poales; Poaceae
Description: partial small subunit ribosomal RNA
Source: RNAcentral